This 62-nucleotide transfer RNA is filed under the name Parasenecio latipes. RNAcentral's name for it is "partial tRNA-Leu". Lineage: Eukaryota; Viridiplantae; Streptophyta; Magnoliopsida; Asterales; Asteraceae. The record is from RNAcentral.
AAAUCGUGAGGGUUCAAGUCCCUCUAUCCCCAAAAAGUCCAUUUGACUCCCUAAUUAUUUAU